Molecule: long non-coding RNA, 813 nt
Organism: Boleophthalmus pectinirostris (great blue-spotted mudskipper)
Lineage: Eukaryota; Metazoa; Chordata; Actinopteri; Gobiiformes; Gobiidae
Exons: 3
Source: RefSeq, a predicted model, not a curated record
UCCAAAAUGGCCGCCCAUUCAAGUCAAUGGGCUGAGCUCAAUGGCGCAUGAUCCCAGAUUAGCCUAGCCCGGCUAGGUACUUCCGGUGGCUGUGGGCCGACCGAGCAUGCGCAGUAGUGCUCUUUUCUCCCACGGGCACACGCGAAUGCACGCGACCACACGCACGGAGCGCGGGCUCGUGUAUCACGUGAUCGCUUUGACCAAUCAGAGCGAGAGGAACGAGAGCGGAGCAGAGCGGAGCCGGAGCUAACGAAUAUAAAGCGUUUUUUAAGACAACUGAAGGAUUUUGAGCGAGAAAAAGUUUAUGAUCUAAAAAUAGGUAAAAAUCGCCACAAAAUCCGACAUUUUUGAAAGUUGUAGGUGCCCUGUCAGCCGAACACGAGCAGGUUGUGAUUACAUUGCGCUCUAUGAGAAAAAUCUUCUCUCGGCCCAUGGGAUUUUUUCGACUGUAGUACCACUGAGUGACACUACGUCAACUCGAGGCAGCUACAAGCAGCAACACUGUAUCCAGUUAUUUUAAUAGAUCCAUGGUCGUUCCCCUCAGCUGUUCUGAGCAGCAGAGGGAGAUGUGUGUGGAGCUGUCACAUUUGGAGGCUGUAUUUUCAUCAUUUUUGUGUUUCACACAGACCGCUUCCUUUUUUAGGAACUGCAAAACUUGUCUAGACCAGUUCUAGACCAGUAGACUAUUAGACGUGGGAACGGUAUAACAAGUACACCAUAACGACAGAGCUCAGGAAGGACCAAACAUCACUCAACAAGAAGAUUACAGAUGGCAGAGAACUCAAAAGUUGUUUCUUUGCAGCCUUCAUCCAG